This 1397-nucleotide ribosomal RNA is filed under the name metagenome. RNAcentral's name for it is "SSU rRNA". It matches the Rfam family "Eukaryotic small subunit ribosomal RNA", at positions 379 to 1801 of the family's 1831-position model. The record is from RNAcentral.
GACUCCGGAGAGGGAGCCUGAGAAACGGCUACCACAUCCAAGGAAGGCAGCAGGCGCGCAAAUUACCCACUCUCGGCACGAGGAGGUAGUGACGAAAAAUAACGAGAUGGAUCUCUUUGAGGCCCAUUAUCGGAAUGAGAACAAUUCAAAUCCUUUAACGAGGAUCUAGCGGAGGGCAAGUCUGGUGCCAGCAGCCGCGGUAAUUCCAGCUCCGCAGGUGUAUAUCUAUGCUGCUGCGGUUAAAAAGCUCGUAGUUGGAUCUGCGUGCUCGGAACUGGUUGGCUCACUGAGUUCAAACUGGUCUCCGGCGCUUUAUUUGCUGGUUUUCCCUUGAUGCUCUUAACCGGGUGUCUCGGGUGGCUAGCGUGUUUACUUUGAAAAAAUUAGAGUGCUCAAUACAGGCGCAAAGCCUUGAAUAGUGGUGCAUGGAAUAAUAGAAUAGGACCUCGGCUCUAUUUUGUUGGUUUUCGGAACACGAGGUAAUGAUUAAGAGGGACAGACGGGGGCAUUCGUAUUGCGACGUUAGAGGUGAAAUUCUUGGAUCGUCGCAAGACGGACGACUGCGAAAGCAUUUGCCAAGAAUGUUUUCAUUAAUCAAGAACGAAAGUUAGAGGUUCGAAGGCGAUCAGAUACCGCCCUAGUUCUAACCGUAAACGAUGCCAACUAGCGAUUCGCAGGCGUUAAACAACGACCUUGCGGGCAGCUUCCCGGAAACGAAAGUGUUCCGGUUCCGGGGGAAGUAUGGUUGCAAAGCUGAAACUUAAAGGAAUUGACGGAAGGGCACCACCAGGAGUGGAGCCUGCGGCUUAAUUUGACCCAACACGGGAAAACUCACCCGGCCCGGACACCGUAAGGAUUGACAGAUUGAGAGCUCUUUCUUGAUUCGGUGGGUGGUGGUGCAUGGCCGUUCUUAGUUGGUGGAGCGAUUUGUCUGGUUUAUUCCGAUAACGAACGAGACUCUGGCCUACUAAAUAGUGGGCGGAUUCUUUCUGUCCGCAACACUUCUUAGAGGGACAAGCGGUGUUCAGCCGCACGAGAUUGAGCAAUAACAGGUCUGUGAUGCCCUUAGAUGUCCGGGGCUGCACGCGCGCUACACUGAAGGAAUCAGCGUGCUUUCUGACCUUGCCCGAAAGGGCUGGGUAACCCGAUGAAAAUCCUUCGUGAUUGGGAUAGGGACUUGCAAUUAUUUCCCUUGAACGAGGAAUUCCCAGUAAGUGUGGGUCAUAAGCUCGCGUUGAUUACGUCCCUGCCCUUUGUACACACCGCCCGUCGCUGCCCGGGACUGAGCCGUUUCGAGAAGAACAGGGACCGUCGUUGAAGGGCCCUAACGGGCUUUUCUCUGAUAGAAACUGUUUUAAUCGCAGUGGCUUGAACCGGGCAAAAGUCGUAACAAGGUU